Molecule: unclassified non-coding RNA, 284 nt
Filed under: plant metagenome
Description: partial contains small subunit ribosomal RNA, internal transcribed spacer 1, and 5.8S ribosomal RNA
Rfam family: Eukaryotic small subunit ribosomal RNA (bases 1-54)
Source: RNAcentral
GGAAGUAAAAGUCGUAUCAAGGUCUCCGUUGGUGAACCAGCGGAGGGAUCAUUACCAAGUUUACAACUCCCAAACCCCUAUGUGAACGUUACCAAACUGUUGCCUCGGCGGGAAAUUCAUGCCCCGGGCGCGUCGCAGCCCCGGACCAAGGCGCCCGCCGGAGGACCAACCAAAACUCUUUUGUAUGUCCCUCGCGGACUUUUAUAAUUCUGAACCAUCUCGGCGCCCCUAGCGGGCGUUUCGAAAAUGAAUCAAAACUUUCAACAACGGAUCUCUUGGUUCUG